RNAcentral lists this ribosomal RNA (429 nucleotides) under Chloroflexota bacterium. Its description in RNAcentral is "Chloroflexi bacterium partial 16S ribosomal RNA". It matches the Rfam family "Bacterial small subunit ribosomal RNA", at positions 355 to 776 of the family's 1533-position model. The record is from RNAcentral. Lineage: Bacteria; Bacillati; Chloroflexota.
UGGGGAAUAUUGCACAAUGGGCGCAAGCCUGAUGCAGCCAUGCCGCGUGUGUGAAGAAGGCCUUCGGGUUGUAAAGCACUUUCAGCGGGGAGGAAGGCGAUAAGGUUAAUAACCUCAUCGAUUGACGUUACCCGCAGAAGAAGCACCGGCUAACUCCGUGCCAGCAGCCGCGGUAAUACGGAGGGUGCAAGCGUUAAUCGGAAUUACUGGGCGUAAAGCGAACGCAGGCGGUCUGUCAAGUCGGAUGUGAAAUCCCCGGGCUCAACCUGGGAACUGCAUUCGAAACUGGCAGGCUAGAGUCUUGUAGAGGGGGGUAGAAUUCCAGGUGUAGCGGUGAAAUGCGUAGAGAUCUGGAGGAAUACCGGUGGCGAAGGCGGCCCCCUGGACAAAGACUGACGCUCAGGUGCGAAAGCGUGGGGAGCAAACAGG